AUUGAACGCUGGCGGCAUGCCUUACACAUGCAAGUCGAACGGCAGCACGGGUGCUUGCACCUGGUGGCGAGUGGCGAACGGGGGAGUAAUACAUCGGAACAUGUCCUGUAGUGGGGGAUAGCCGGGCGAAAGCCGGAUUAAUACCGCAUACGAUCUACGAAGGAAAGCGGGGGAUCUUCGGGCCUCGCGCUAUAGGGUUGGCCGAUGGCUGAUUAGCUAGUUGGUGGGGUAAAGGCCUACCAAGGCGACGAUCAGUAGCUGGUGUGAGAGGACGACCAGCCACACUGGGACUGAGACACGGCCCAGACUCCUACGGGAGGCAGCAGUGGGGAAUUUUGGACAAUGGGCGAAAGCCUGAUCCAGCAAUGCCGAGUGUGUGAAGAAGGCCUUCGGGUUGUAAAGCACUUUUGUCCGGAAAGAAAUCCUUGGCCCUAAUACGGUCGGGGGAUGACGGUACCGGAAGAAUAAGCACCGGCUAACUACGUG
Molecule: ribosomal RNA, 486 nt
Filed under: uncultured bacterium
Lineage: Bacteria
Description: partial 16S ribosomal RNA
Rfam family: Bacterial small subunit ribosomal RNA
Source: RNAcentral